AACGUAGGACGCAAGCGUUAUCCGGAGUUACUGGGCGUAAAGCGCGGGCAGGCGGUCUGUCAAGUGGGAUGUGAAAGCGCCCGGCUAAACCGGGCGAGGCCAUUCCAAACUGAUGGGCUGGAGGGCAGUAGAGGUAGGCGGAAUUCCGGGUGGAGUGGUGAAAUGCGUAGAGAUCCGGAGGAACACCAGAGGCGAAGGCGGCCUACUGGGCUGCACCUGACGCUGAGCCGCGAAAGCUAGGGGAGCGAAC
This 250-nucleotide ribosomal RNA is filed under the name uncultured bacterium. RNAcentral describes it as "partial 16S ribosomal RNA". It matches the Rfam family "Bacterial small subunit ribosomal RNA", at positions 524 to 773 of the family's 1533-position model. The record is from RNAcentral.